This 1106-nucleotide ribosomal RNA is filed under the name Vibrio parahaemolyticus. RNAcentral's name for it is "partial 23S ribosomal RNA". It matches the Rfam family "Bacterial large subunit ribosomal RNA", at positions 443 to 1555 of the family's 2925-position model. Lineage: Bacteria; Pseudomonadati; Pseudomonadota; Gammaproteobacteria; Vibrionales; Vibrionaceae. The record is from RNAcentral.
UAUGGGGGGACCAUCCUCCAAGGCUAAAUACUACUGACUGACCGAUAGUGAACCAGUACCGUGAGGGAAAGGCGAAAAGAACCCCUGUGAGGGGAGUGAAAUAGAACCUGAAACCGUGUACGUACAAGCAGUAGGAGCAGGCUUUGUCCUGUGACUGCGUACCUUUUGUAUAAUGGGUCAGCGACUUAUAUUCAGUGGCAAGGUUAACCAUCUAGGGGAGCCGUAGGGAAACCGAGUCUUAACUGGGCGUUCAGUCUCUGGAUAUAGACCCGAAACCAGGUGAUCUAGCCAUGGGCAGGUUGAAGGUUGAGUAACAUCAACUGGAGGACCGAACCGACUAAUGUUGAAAAAUUAGCGGAUGACUUGUGGCUAGGGGUGAAAGGCCAAUCAAACCUGGAGAUAGCUGGUUCUCCCCGAAAGCUAUUUAGGUAGCGCCUCGGACGAAUACUACUGGGGGUAGAGCACUGUUAAGGCUAGGGGGUCAUCCCGACUUACCAACCCUUUGCAAACUCCGAAUACCAGUAAGUACUAUCCGGGAGACACACGGCGGGUGCUAACGUCCGUCGUGGAGAGGGAAACAACCCAGACCGCCAGCUAAGGUCCCAAAUUACUACUAAGUGGGAAACGAUGUGGGAAGGCUCAGACAGCCAGGAUGUUGGCUUAGAAGCAGCCAUCAUUUAAAGAAAGCGUAAUAGCUCACUGGUCGAGUCGGCCUGCGCGGAAGAUGUAACGGGGCUAAGUAGUAAACCGAAGCUGCGGCAAUGUGCUUUUGCACAUUGGGUAGGGGAGCGUUCUGUAAGCGGUUGAAGGUGUGUGGUAACGCAUGCUGGACGUAUCAGAAGUGCGAAUGCUGACAUGAGUAACGAUAAAGGGGGUGAAAAACCUCCUCGCCGGAAGACCAAGGGUUCCUGUCCAACGUUAAUCGGGGCAGGGUAAGUCGACCCCUAAGGCGAGGCCGAAAGGCGUAGUCGAUGGGAAACGGGUUAAUAUUCCCGUACUUCUUACAAUUGCGAUGGGGGGACGGAGAAGGCUAGGUGGGCCUGGCGACGGUUGUCCAGGUUCAAGUGCGUAGGCUUAAGAGUUAGGUAAAUCCGGCUCUUUUUAAG